GAUGACUAUUGUGGAUGACCUUGUGUCUGUUGAUACUGUCAUUGAGGAGCGUCUAACUGUGGAACCAAUAAAUGAGUAUGUCCAGAGUUGUGACAUUGUCGCCUUCAACAAAAUCUAGAGACUUUGCUGAGAGGGGGGAAAUGCAGUUUUGCAGUUGAAGUGGGAGACUGUUCUGCAAAAUGCUACUACUAUCAGUGUGUUUUAGUUUGUCUCUAUAAGAGCCUAGAAUUGCAAAAUAUUUGGAUUUUGAUGGAAGGAUUUUGUUUUUGAGACUUGCUGAGUCUGGUAUUUUAGUACUUUCAAAUUAUUAUGGAGCACUAUUUAUUGUCCUAUUAGAGGAGUUGUG
RNAcentral lists this unclassified non-coding RNA (346 nucleotides) under Hevea brasiliensis (rubber tree). Lineage: Eukaryota; Viridiplantae; Streptophyta; Magnoliopsida; Malpighiales; Euphorbiaceae. The record is from RNAcentral.